CACGUGAGUAACCUGCCCUUGACUUUGGGAGUAACUUCAGGAAACUGGGGCUAAUACCGGAUAGGAGCUCCUGCUGCAUGGUGGGGGUUGGAAAGUUUCGGCGGUUGGGGAUGGACUCGCGGCUUAUCAGCUUGUUGGUGGGGUAGUGGCUUACCAAGGCUUUGACGGGUAGCCGGCCUGAGAGGGUGACCGGCCACAUUGGGACUGAGAUACGGCCCAG
This 220-nucleotide ribosomal RNA is filed under the name uncultured Actinomycetales bacterium. RNAcentral's name for it is "partial 16S ribosomal RNA". It matches the Rfam family "Bacterial small subunit ribosomal RNA", at positions 114 to 334 of the family's 1533-position model. The record is from RNAcentral. Lineage: Bacteria; Bacillati; Actinomycetota; Actinomycetes; Actinomycetales.